This 174-nucleotide ribosomal RNA is filed under the name uncultured bacterium. Its description in RNAcentral is "partial 16S ribosomal RNA". It matches the Rfam family "Bacterial small subunit ribosomal RNA", at positions 1327 to 1500 of the family's 1533-position model. The record is from RNAcentral.
CGGAAUCGCUAGUAAUCGCAAAUCAGAAUGCUGCGGUGAAUACGUUCCCGGGUCUUGUACACACCGCCCGUCACACCAUGGGAGUCGGAAAUGCCCGAAGUCAGUGGCCCAACCGGAAGGAGGGAGCUGCCGAAGGCAGGUCCGGUGACUGGGGUGAAGUCGUAACAAGGUACC